RNAcentral lists this ribosomal RNA (253 nucleotides) under uncultured bacterium. RNAcentral describes it as "partial 16S ribosomal RNA". It matches the Rfam family "Bacterial small subunit ribosomal RNA", at positions 524 to 776 of the family's 1533-position model. The record is from RNAcentral.
UACAAAGGGGGCUAGCGUUGCUCGGAAUUACUGGGCGUAAAGCGCACGUAGGCGGCUUUCUAAGUCGGGGGUGAAAUCCUGGAGCUCAACUCCAGAACUGCCUUCGAUACUGGAAAGCUCGAGUCCGGGAGAGGUGAGUGGAAUUCCCAGUGUAGCGGUGAAAUGCGUAGAUAUUGGGAGGAACACCAGUGGCGAAGGCGGCUCACUGGACCGGUUCUGACGCUGAGGCGCGAAAGCGUGGGUAGCAAACAGG